Molecule: ribosomal RNA, 248 nt
Filed under: uncultured Fructobacillus sp.
Lineage: Bacteria; Bacillati; Bacillota; Bacilli; Lactobacillales; Lactobacillaceae
Description: partial 16S ribosomal RNA
Rfam family: Bacterial small subunit ribosomal RNA
Source: RNAcentral
UACGUAUGUCCCGAGCGUUAUCCGGAUUUAUUGGGCGUAAAGCGAGCGCAGACGGUUGCUUAAGUCUGAAGUGAAAGCCCACAGCUCAACUGUGGAAUGGCUUUGGAAACUGGGCAACUUGAGUGCAGUAGAGGUAAGUGGAACUCCAUGUGUAGCGGUGGAAUGCGUAGAUAUAUGGAAGAACACCAGUGGCGAAGGCGGCUUACUGGACUGCAACUGACGUUGAGGCUCGAAAGUGUGGGUAGCAA